GGCGGACGGGUGGGUAAUGUCUGGGAAACUGCCCGAUGGAGGGGGAUAACUACUGGAAACGGUAGCUAAUACCGCAUAACGUCGCAAGACCAAAGAGGGGGACCUUCGGGCCUCUUGCCAUCGGAUGUGCCCAGAUGGGAUUAGCUAGUAGGUGGGGUAACGGCUCACCUAGGCGACGAUCCCUAGCUGGUCUGAGAGGAUGACCAGCCACACUGGAACUGAGACACGGUCCAG
RNAcentral lists this ribosomal RNA (234 nucleotides) under uncultured bacterium. RNAcentral describes it as "partial 16S ribosomal RNA". It matches the Rfam family "Bacterial small subunit ribosomal RNA", at positions 97 to 334 of the family's 1533-position model. The record is from RNAcentral.